GAUGAACGCUGGCGGCGUGCCUAAUACAUGCAAGUCGAGCGAACAGACGAGGAGCUUGCUCCUCUGACGUUAGCGGCGGACGGGUGAGUAACACGUGGAUAACCUACCUAUAAUACUGGGAUAACUUCGGGAAACCGGAGCUAAUACCGGAUAACAUGUUGAACCGCAUGGUUCAACAGUGAAAGACGGUCUUGCUGUCACUUAUAGAUGGAUUCGCGCCGCAUUAGCUAGUUGGUAAGGUAACGGCUUACCAAGGCAACGAUGCGUAGCCGACCUGAGAGGAUGAUCGGCCACACUGGAACUGAGACACGGUCCAGACUCCUACGGGAGGCAGCAGUAGGGAAUAUUCCGCAAUGGGCGAAAGCCUGACGGAGCAACGCCGCGUGAGUGAUGAAGGUCUUCGGAUCGUAAAACUCUGUUAUUAGGGAAGAACAAAUGUGUAAGUAACUAUGCACGUCUUGACGGUACCUAAUCAGAAAGCCACGGCUAACUACGUG
Molecule: ribosomal RNA, 497 nt
Filed under: uncultured bacterium
Lineage: Bacteria
Description: partial 16S ribosomal RNA
Rfam family: Bacterial small subunit ribosomal RNA
Source: RNAcentral